This 340-nucleotide ribosomal RNA is filed under the name uncultured bacterium. RNAcentral describes it as "bacterial SSU rRNA". It matches the Rfam family "Bacterial small subunit ribosomal RNA", at positions 330 to 667 of the family's 1533-position model. The record is from RNAcentral.
AAAACACCCCUACGGGAGGCAGCAGUAAGGAAUAUUGGGCAAUGGACGCAAGUCUGACCCAGCCAUGCCGCGUGGAGGAUGAAGGCCCUCUGGGUUGUAAACUUCUUUUAUUUGGGAAGAACUGUAGGUUUUCUAACUUACUUGACGGUACCAGAUGAAUAAGCACCGGCUAACUCCGUGCCAGCAGCCGCGGUAAUACGGAGGGUGCAAGCGUUAUCCGGAUUCACUGGGUUUAAAGGGUGCGUAGGCGGGCAGUUAAGUCAGUGGUGAAAUCUCCGGGCUCAACCCGGAAACUGCCGUUGAUACUAUCUGUCUUGAAUAACGUUGAGGUGAGCGGAAU